GACGAUGUAUUAAAAAAACUUCAUUCAAAGAAAAAGUUCAAUUUAUCUUAUACCAAUUUUUUUUUUCAACUAUCUAAGAUUCUGAGUACCUUUUAACACUCAUAUUCAAAUUUUUCCAGGUCUUAUUUUUCUAUCCUCCAUAAAAAAGUGGCCUCUUAAAUGCCUGGAUCUUCUCUCUUUUUGCUUCCCUAGAAUAUUAAAGGAUAAUUUUUCGUACUGGUAAAGACAACAGAAGUUACUGCGGCACCGUUUAUAACAACUUCAUAUGGCAUCUCAAAAUGAAAGAACUAAGCAGUAAAUUUAUCUUGUAAUUGCCAUAUAUAAUAAUUUGAUAGCACAUUUAACUAGGGUAGUAAGCGAAUAUAUGGUAGCUAGAUUGUCUCUAUAAUUGACCUAUUAGAUCAUGUUUAGUAAGUUCAGAUAUUUACAUUCUUAGGUUUAAUCAUGUUUUGUCAAAAGAUAGAAUGGAUUUACCAAGAUUUGUGCUGGAUUUUUUUCAGUUUUAAGCGACUUCAACAGGGGAGUUGAAGUUCCACUAAAAGAUAGAUUAAAAACAUAUAAACAUUACCAAAUGGCUCAAAACCAUAGCAAAUUCUCCUUGUUAUUUAGUGGUUGAAAUGUUCAUAUUGAUUGACUUACUUAACUUGUGCUCCAUAUUCAUUACUCAACUGCACUGCAUGCAUCAUCAAAAACAUUUUUGUUCUGUUCUAACUUCUUUAUUUCUUUUGCUAACAGGAGAACAUGAUGUGAAGAAAAUAUGUUCUAUACAAAUAUAAGAUGGGAUGGGUCUUAUAAUGAUUUUGGUUAUCUAAAUGUAUUAUUUUGAUGUGUUCUUUACAUUUUGAUAAGAGACUUUAUCCGAUAUUACAUGUAAUGGAUAAAUGACACCCUAUUUUGAUUAGUGUUGUAAUGGAUAUCUACUUUUUUAUGAAA
Non-coding RNA from Arachis ipaensis, 933 nucleotides. The record is from RefSeq and is a predicted model, not a curated record. NCBI's taxonomy places the organism in Eukaryota, Viridiplantae, Streptophyta, Magnoliopsida, Fabales, Fabaceae.